Molecule: transfer RNA, 78 nt
Filed under: SAR202 cluster bacterium
Lineage: Bacteria; Bacillati; Chloroflexota; Dehalococcoidia
Description: tRNA-Lys
Rfam family: tRNA
About the family: Transfer RNA (tRNA) molecules are approximately 80 nucleotides in length. Their secondary structure includes four short double-helical elements and three loops (D, anti-codon, and T loops).
Source: RNAcentral
GCCCCUGUAGCUCAGCCCGGCCAGAGCAGACGGCUUUUAACCGUAAUGUCGCAGGUUCGAAUCCUGCCGGGGGCACCA